This 425-nucleotide ribosomal RNA is filed under the name uncultured prokaryote. RNAcentral's name for it is "bacterial SSU rRNA". It matches the Rfam family "Bacterial small subunit ribosomal RNA", at positions 963 to 1387 of the family's 1533-position model. The record is from RNAcentral.
GAAGAACCUUACCAAAUCUUGACAUCCUUUGACAACUCUAGAGAUAGAGCCUUCCCCUUCGGGGGACAAAGUGACAGGUGGUGCAUGGUUGUCGUCAGCUCGUGUCGUGAGAUGUUGGGUUAAGUCCCGCAACGAGCGCAACCCUUAAGCUUAGUUGCCAUCAUUAAGUUGGGCACUCUAAGUUGACUGCCGGUGACAAACCGGAGGAAGGUGGGGAUGACGUCAAAUCAUCAUGCCCCUUAUGAUUUGGGCUACACACGUGCUACAAUGGACAAUACAAAGGGCAGCGAAACCGCGAGGUCAAGCAAAUCCCAUAAAGUUGUUCUCAGUUCGGAUUGUAGUCUGCAACUCGACUACAUGAAGCUGGAAUCGCUAGUAAUCGUAGAUCAGCAUGCUACGGUGAAUACGUUCCCGGGUCUUGUACA